This 157-nucleotide ribosomal RNA is filed under the name Botryosphaeria dothidea. RNAcentral describes it as "partial 18S ribosomal RNA". The record is from RNAcentral. Lineage: Eukaryota; Fungi; Ascomycota; Dothideomycetes; Botryosphaeriales; Botryosphaeriaceae.
GAGGGGAACCUCCCACCCUUUGUGUCCUACCGCGGGGGCUUUGGCGGGCCGCGGUCCUCCGCGGCCGCCCCCCUCCCCGGGGGGUGGCCAGCGCCCGCCAGAGGACCAUGAAACUCCAGUCGGGAACUAUGCAGUCUGAAGAACAUUUAAUAAACUA